UAUGUUUGCUCACGCCGUUCGGCCGUUCCACGAGAAAAUCAUGUGGUAACGUUCCGUAUGACCGUUUCGUGAAUCCUCCACAUGCGAGCGGCAGUUCUGUAUACCGUUCUCACACACAGAGCUUCCAUAGUCGUCUACUCCUAUAAAACGCACCCCCAUUUUUUCAGUUUUUAUACAAAAAAAAUAUCGAGUCUUCUUAUCUUCAAAAAUUUCUCUUCCAUCUUCAAAAAUUCUCUCUUUCGUUCAUUUUGUUGAUUGGAC
RNAcentral lists this long non-coding RNA (261 nucleotides) under Elaeis guineensis (African oil palm). RNAcentral describes it as "long non-coding RNA (EGUI_LNC031448)". Lineage: Eukaryota; Viridiplantae; Streptophyta; Magnoliopsida; Arecales; Arecaceae. The record is from RNAcentral.